This 781-nucleotide ribosomal RNA is filed under the name uncultured bacterium. RNAcentral's name for it is "bacterial SSU rRNA". It matches the Rfam family "Bacterial small subunit ribosomal RNA", at positions 28 to 810 of the family's 1533-position model. The record is from RNAcentral.
GAUGAACGCUGGCGGCGUGCUUAACACAUGCAAGUCGAACGGGAAAUAUUUCAUUGAGACUUCGGUGGAUUUGAUCUAUUUCUAGUGGCGGACGGGUGAGUAACGCGUGGGUAACCUGCCUUAUACAGGGGGAUAACAGUUAGAAAUGACUGCUAAUACCGCAUAAGACCACAGAGCCGCAUGGAUCGGUGGGAAAAACUCCGGUGGUAUGAGAUGGACCCGCGUCUGAUUAGGUAGUUGGUGGGGUAACGGCCUACCAAGCCAACGAUCAGUAGCCGACCUGAGAGGGUGACCGGCCACAUUGGGACUGAGACACGGCCCAAACUCCUACGGGAGGCAGCAGUGGGGAAUAUUGCACAAUGGGGGAAACCCUGAUGCAGCGACGCCGCGUGAACGAAGAAGUAUUUCGGUAUGUAAAGCUCUAUCAGCAGGGAAGAGAAUGACGGUACCUGACUAAGAAGCACCGGCUAAAUACGUGCCAGCAGCCGCGGUAAUACGUAUGGUGCAAGCGUUAUCCGGAUUUACUGGGUGUAAAGGGAGCGUAGACGGCUGUGUAAGUCUGAAGUGAAAGCCCGGGGCUCAACCCCGGGACUGCUUUGGAAACUAUGCAGCUAGAGUGUCGGAGAGGUAAGUGGAAUUCCCAGUGUAGCGGUGAAAUGCGUAGAUAUUGGGAGGAACACCAGUGGCGAAGGCGGCUUACUGGACGAUGACUGACGUUGAGGCUCGAAAGCGUGGGGAGCAAACAGGAUUAGAUACCCUGGUAGUCCAAGCCGUAAACGAU